This 253-nucleotide ribosomal RNA is filed under the name uncultured bacterium. Its description in RNAcentral is "partial 16S ribosomal RNA". It matches the Rfam family "Bacterial small subunit ribosomal RNA", at positions 524 to 776 of the family's 1533-position model. The record is from RNAcentral.
UACGGGGGGGGCAAGCGUUGUUCGGAAUUACUGGGCGUAAAGGGCUCGUAGGUGGCCAACUAAGUCAGACGUGAAAUCCCUCGGCUUAACCGGGGAACUGCGUCUGAUACUGGAUGGCUUGAGGUUGGGAGAGGGAUGCGGAAUUCCAGGUGUAGCGGUGAAAUGCGUAGAUAUCUGGAGGAACACCGGUGGCGAAGGCGGCAUCCUGGACCAAUUCUGACGCUGAGGAGCGAAAGCCAGGGGAGCAAGCGGG